GACAGAGGGGGCAAGCGUUGCUCGGAAUUACUGGGCGUAAAGGGCGCGUAGGCGGGAUGGCAAGUCGGUCGUGAAAUCCUUCGGCCCAACCGAAGAACGUCGAUCGAUACUGCUGUUCUAGAGGAUUGCAGAGGAGACUGGAAUUCCCGGUGUAGCGGUGAAAUGUGUAGAGAUCGGGAGGAACACCGGUGGCGAAGGCGGGUCUCUGGGCCAUUACUGACGCUGAGGAGCGAAAGCGUGGGGAGCGAACAGG
This 253-nucleotide ribosomal RNA is filed under the name uncultured bacterium. RNAcentral's name for it is "partial 16S ribosomal RNA". It matches the Rfam family "Bacterial small subunit ribosomal RNA", at positions 524 to 776 of the family's 1533-position model. The record is from RNAcentral.